Molecule: ribosomal RNA, 484 nt
Filed under: uncultured bacterium
Lineage: Bacteria
Description: partial 16S ribosomal RNA
Rfam family: Bacterial small subunit ribosomal RNA
Source: RNAcentral
AUUGAACGCUGGCGGCAGGCCUAACACAUGCAAGUCGAGCGGAUGAAGGGAGCUUGCUCCUGGAUUCAGCGGCGGACGGGUGAGUAAUGCCUAGGAAUCUGCCUGGUAGUGGGGGAUAACGUCCGGAAACGGGCGCUAAUACCGCAUACGUCCUGAGGGAGAAAGUGGGGGAUCUUCGGACCUCACGCUAUCAGAUGAGCCUAGGUCGGAUUAGCUAGUUGGUGGGGUAAAGGCCUACAAAGGCGACGAUCCGUAACUGGUCUGAGAGGAUGAUCAGUCACACUGGAACUGAGACACGGUCCAGACUCCUACGGGAGGCAGCAGCGGGGAAUAUUGGACAAUGGGCGAAAGCCUGAUCCAGCCAUGCCGCGUGUGUGAAGAAGGUCUUCGGAUUGUAAAGCACUUUAAGUUGGGAGGAAGGGCAGUAAGUUAAUACCUUGCUGUUUUGACGUUACCAACAGAAUAAGCACCGGCUAACUUCGUG